RNAcentral lists this ribosomal RNA (550 nucleotides) under uncultured bacterium. RNAcentral's name for it is "bacterial SSU rRNA". It matches the Rfam family "Bacterial small subunit ribosomal RNA", at positions 355 to 896 of the family's 1533-position model. The record is from RNAcentral.
UGGGGAAUUUUGGACAAUGGGCGCAAGCCUGAUCCAGCCAUGCCGCGUGUCUGAAGAAGGCCUUCGGGUUGUAAAGGACUUUUGUCGGGGAAGAAAAGGUCGGGGUUAAUACCCCCGGCUGAUGACGGUACCCGAAGAAUAAGCACCGGCUAACUACGUGCCAGCAGCCGCGGUAAUACGUAGGGUGCGAGCGUUAAUCGGAAUUACUGGGCGUAAAGCGGGCGCAGACGGUUACUUAAGCAGGAUGUGAAAUCCCCGGGCUCAACCCGGGAAUUGCGUUCUGAACUGGGUGGCUAGAGUGUGUCAGAGGGAGGUAGAAUUCCACGUGUAGCAGUGAAAUGCGUAGAGAUGUGGAGGAAUACCGAUGGCGAAGGCAGCCUCCUGGGAUAACACUGACGUUCAUGCCCGAAAGCGUGGGUAGCAAACAGGAUUAGAUACCCUGGUAGUCCACGCCGUAAACGAUGAGUGCUAGGUGUUAGACCCUUUCCGGGGUUUAGUGCCGCAGCUAACGCAUUAAGCACUCCGCCUGGGGAGUACGACCGCAAGGUUG